GACGAACGCUGGCGGCGUGCUUAACACAUGCAAGUCGAGCGGUAAGGCCCUUUCGGGGGUACACGAGCGGCGAACGGGUGAGUAACACGUGGGUGACCUGCCCUCAGCUCUGGGAUAAGCCCGGGAAACUGGGUCUAAUACCGGAUAUGACUCCAUGACGCAUGUUGUGGGGUGGAAAGCCUUGUGCGGCUGAGGAUGGGCCCGCGGCCUAUCAGCUUGUUGGUGGGGUGAUGGCCACCAAGGCGACGACGGGUAGCCGGCCUGAGAGGGCGACCGGCCACACUGGGACUGAGAUACGGCCCAGACUCCUACGGGAGGCAGCAGGUGGGGAAUCUUGCGCAAUGGGCGAAAGCCUGACGCAGCGACGCCGCGUGAGGGAUGACCGGCCUGG
This 391-nucleotide ribosomal RNA is filed under the name uncultured bacterium. RNAcentral's name for it is "bacterial SSU rRNA". It matches the Rfam family "Bacterial small subunit ribosomal RNA", at positions 28 to 420 of the family's 1533-position model. The record is from RNAcentral.